Molecule: small nuclear RNA, 126 nt
Organism: Rhineura floridana
Lineage: Eukaryota; Metazoa; Chordata; Lepidosauria; Squamata; Rhineuridae
Source: RefSeq, a predicted model, not a curated record
GUGUGGUAUGAAAGGAGAGAAGGUUAGCGCUCCGCUUGACAAGGAUGGAAGAGGUCCUAGUGGCCUGUACUGCACACAUGGUUAAGGCAUUGCCAUUUACAUCUUGGCAUCUAAUCAGGUUUUGGA